GCUGCGGAUGGUGGCGUUGGAGGGGCUGCGUGGCUCAGACCAGCCCGAGAGGAUUUAGGGACACACCCAGCGUUUGACGUUAACACCAGCCUAACACCAACCAAAUGCUGAUAGAUCUGCAAAUGGUCUCCAGCUUUUUGACCAUAUUCUACUUGGAAGAGAACCCCUAUCCUGGAAAAGGCUCCUACACCAAAUAAAGAAAGAAGCUGGACUACAAUCGCCAAGGCUUUCAUCCAACCAGGUGGGGGGCACCUUGGCGUCACCUGUCUCCUUCUAAAGGUGUCAGUGAAGUGAGAGCCCUGUCAUUCCUGUAAAGAAGGUUGGGAUCCCAAUUACCCGGAGGCUCACCCCUCCUACCCCACCACCCCAUCACCACCAAUCCUGCUCUCCCCACAAGGGGUGUCACAGAAAUGAAGAAACAUACUGACAAGGAACCAAGAGUCCUCUUUUGAAACACGAUAAUGGAAACAGAUGUGCCUUUUUUCUUGUGGCUCAUCCUUUUUUAUUCAAUCCCUAGUACUUCUUUUUUGCUCUCCUACACUUUUCAUUUCUUCUCUUCUCUCGCUCAUUCUGGCCCUCCCUCCUUGCCAGACCUCCAUGCUUUGAUACCCUUCAUUUAGCGUGUCAGCAGCGAUGACACAUGUACCCAUUCAUCCGCCCCUGCCGACAUUGUUAGAAGUGUAUUCCAAAUCAUGCAGGAACAAGCACGGCCUUUUGCUUCCCAUUGAACAUUUUCUGCUUAAUAAACCCUCCAGACAUUCAACCAACUGAAUAUUUUGCCUUUUCUAAAGGAUUCCUUCUUGGAGAUCCCUCAUACAAAGCAGGCAGAGAGUAUAAUUUGCGUGGUGUGUUUCCAGCAAGAUCCCAUCCUGUCAGGGGUGAAGGGUCUUUUAUCUCUAGUGGUGUCUUGAGUGGCUCUCAUGUCUGGUUCAGAGCAUGCAGGGGCUCCAAAGCCGAGCGACAGAGUAACGUCAGCAUGAGUGGCAGCAGGGUAGACAGCAACGGCUCGGACAAAUCCUCCUCUAUCUGGCCCAGAAUCCUCUGGGGCUACUUGGUAAGCUGCAGUGAAUCACCUUGAGCUUAAUGAUUUGCAGAUAUACAGAGAGAAGGGGGCUGGAACCUCCAGGGCCGGAGUUUAUCUCCUGGGCCUGACCCUUUGAUCUGGCCCUCAGAUUAACCCUGCAGACAAAGAGACAGAGCCUGCGUGUGUAUGUAUAUAUCUUGUG
Molecule: long non-coding RNA, 1226 nt
Organism: Micropterus salmoides (largemouth bass)
Lineage: Eukaryota; Metazoa; Chordata; Actinopteri; Centrarchiformes; Centrarchidae
Exons: 3
Source: RefSeq, a predicted model, not a curated record